This 88-nucleotide non-coding RNA is filed under the name uncultured Goniomonas sp. Lineage: Eukaryota; Cryptophyceae; Goniomonadida; Goniomonadaceae. The record is from RNAcentral.
GCGCGCACACAGACUUCCGCCUGUUUUUGUCGUCGGAGCCGUCCGCCGGUAUGCCCGUGAACAUCCUGCAGGUGUGCAUCAAGAUGAC